RNAcentral lists this ribosomal RNA (253 nucleotides) under uncultured bacterium. Its description in RNAcentral is "partial 16S ribosomal RNA". It matches the Rfam family "Bacterial small subunit ribosomal RNA", at positions 524 to 776 of the family's 1533-position model. The record is from RNAcentral.
UACGGAGGGGGCAAGCGUUGUUCGGAAUUACUGGGCGUAAAGGGCUCGUAGGCGGCCAACUAAGUCGGACGUGAAAUCCCUCGGCUUAACCGGGGAACUGCGUCCGAUACUGGAUGGCUUGAGUUUGGGAGAGGGAUGCGGAAUUCCAGGUGUAGCGGUGAAAUGCGUAGAUAUCUGGAGGAACACCGGUGGCGAAGGCGGCAUCCUGGACCAACACUGACGCUGAUGAGCGAAAGCGAGGGGAGCAAACGGG